This 254-nucleotide ribosomal RNA is filed under the name uncultured bacterium. Its description in RNAcentral is "partial 16S ribosomal RNA". It matches the Rfam family "Bacterial small subunit ribosomal RNA", at positions 524 to 776 of the family's 1533-position model. The record is from RNAcentral.
GACGAACCGUGCGAACGUUAUUCGGAAUCACUGGGCUUAAAGCGCGUGUAGGCGGGCCGGCACGUCGGUCGCUGAAAUCCCCCGGCUCAACUGGGCGGGGUCAGCGGAUACGGUGUGGCUGGAGCAAGCUAGGGGGCAAUGGAAUUCCCGGUGUAGUGGUGGAAUGCGUAGAUAUCGGGAGGAACACCAGUGGCGAAGGCGGUUGCCUGGAGCUUUGCUGACGCUGAUGCGCGAAAGCGUGGGGAGCGAUCCGG